CUCAAAUUAUAAUAACUAAAUCCGAACCAUUAUAAUAUUUAGAAUUAAAUUUACAAAUACCAAGAUUACUUUUUGUCAUAAAUUGAGAAAAUGCAACUUUCAGACAUAGAAGCUUUUUGAGGAGGGUGAGAUGUAACUUUGUUUUAGUGUAACUUAAAAGGACUAUACUUUUUAAGUCAAAAUAUGACAAAAUGGUAUUUUUACCUUCACGGCCGUCCUAAACCCCUUUUCGUCACUAUUGACUAUUUGACACAACAUCAACAAAUCAUAAUGCGGCGCAAACGUCACGCAUCAGGCUAAUUUUUUCACAAAUUACUACUUUUACGGCAUACUUUUAUGGGGCAAAAAUAAUUUUACCCUACAAAAAGAAAAAAAGUUCAGGUAUAGCUCCGUUAAGCAAGUUACCCGUGUCACUGGCCUUGGCCCCUCCACUGCUGCCUUUUACCCACGUGACCUGAGCCCGUGGACCCAGUUGGAUCUUCUCAUCCAUCUGAGGCUGCACACAGAAAAACACAAGCAAUAAAGCAGCGUAGCCAUCAACAGUGUGUAGCAGUACCUAAAGGAUCCUGUAGAGGGCUCAUGUGCCAUAUUCGACCAUAACAGUGUUAGGACAAGUUGUGCAAAUGUGGUGGUGCAGUAUGCAGAAAUAUGUUUUAUCUUUAUAGAAAAAACUCAGUUUGCAUAAAACCGUUCAUUUGACUGUUCAUUUGUACUUUAUGAGUACCAGAACAGUUGACAUUUUUGUUUCAGCUUUCACAAAGAUGAAGUAUGUCUGACCUUGGAGAUCUUUGGGAUCUUUGUGGGGUCGAUAGUCCUGCUGUUCUUUGUCAUGGGCACAGUGUUCCAGGUCUCAUCUCUCUGCAUGCGCUGGUCAGAUCGGAGGCAAGAAGAUAGUAAUAAAGCAGGAGUUAGACAGUACAGAGAGAACUUGAUCAGUCUGCAGGACAUACACAAUCUGCUCAUGGCUACAGACAAGUUGGGAACUGUCAACACAGUAGAAGGUGCAAGGUUCACCAAAACAAACCUUGCUGGAGGUCAGU
RNAcentral lists this long non-coding RNA (1040 nucleotides) under Neogobius melanostomus (round goby). RNAcentral describes it as "lncRNA (ENSNMLG00000025899.1)". Lineage: Eukaryota; Metazoa; Chordata; Actinopteri; Gobiiformes; Gobiidae. The record is from RNAcentral.